RNAcentral lists this small RNA (97 nucleotides) under Mytilus galloprovincialis (Mediterranean mussel). The record is from RNAcentral. Lineage: Eukaryota; Metazoa; Mollusca; Bivalvia; Mytilida; Mytilidae.
GACUUUUGUGAGACAAAAUUGACAAAAUUGACUUUUGUGAGACAAAAUUGACAAAAUUGAAUUUUGUAAAUUUUGUCUCACAAAAGUCAAUUUUGUC